CCAGACUCCUACGGGAGGCAGCAGUGGGGAAUAUUGGGCAAUGGAGGCAACUCUGACCCAGCAACGCCGCGUGAAGGAAGAAGGCCUUAGGGUUGUAAACUUAUGUUGUAAAGGAAGAAAAGAAUGACGGCACUUUACAAGAAAGCCCCGGCUAACUAUGUGCCAGCAGCCGCGGUAAGACAUAGGGGGCAAGCGUUGUUCGGAAUUACUGGGCGUAAAGGGAGCGUAGGCGGGAGAUUAAGUUAAGAGUGAAAGCCUUGGGCUCAACCCAAGAAAUGCUCUUAAUACUGGUUUUCUAGAGUGUGGGAGAGGUAAGUGGAAUUCCUAGUGUAGCGGUAGAAUGCGUAGAGAUUAGGAGGAACAUCAGAGGCGAAGGCGGCUUACUGGACCAUAGCUGACGCUGAGGCUCGAAAGCGUGGGGAGCAAACAGGAUUAGAUACCCGCGUAGA
RNAcentral lists this ribosomal RNA (449 nucleotides) under uncultured bacterium. RNAcentral's name for it is "bacterial SSU rRNA". It matches the Rfam family "Bacterial small subunit ribosomal RNA", at positions 331 to 794 of the family's 1533-position model. The record is from RNAcentral.